AGGAUCAUUAACGAAUGCGAAACAAUUCGCGGUAAUUUGACCGUGGCNGCCUCGGUGGCCACGGGAAGUCCACACCCGUGCACACAGCGUGAGUGCCUCCCGACAGGGGAGGCGUUCCGCUCCCCUUUACACUUAACAACGCCUGUAACGAAGCAUGUCUAACGGAGCUCUACGGAGUGCCAAUACUAUAAUACAACUUUCAACAACGGAUCUCUUGGCUUUCGCAUCGAUGAANAACGCCGCGAAAGUGCGAAACGUAAUGUGAAUUGCAGAAUUCAGUGAAUCAUCGAAUCUUUGAACGCAUCUUGCGCUCCUUGGUAUUCCGAGGAGCAUGCCUGUUUGAGUGUCGUGAUUAAAUCAAUCNGCCCCCGGAGGCCUUCACUGAAGUCCACGGUCGGUGUGGGACUUUGGACGCUGCCCUCCUUACUAUGAAGGGCUCGUCUCGAAAUGCAUUAGCUGUUUCCUCGUACGCAGACAACGGUGUGAUAAUAAAACUCGCUAGCGUCUGUGUCACAUGGGGAUGGCUUCCAAAUCGUCGGUCUUUGGGACUNCCCGNAGACGUAACACCCCCCUAGAGUAUGACCUCAAAUCAGGCAGGACUACCCGCUGAACUUAAGCAUAUCAAUAAGCGGAGGAAAAGAAACUAACAAGGAUUCCCCUAGUAACGGCGAGUGAAGCGGGAAGAGCUCAAAUUUGUAAUCUGACGGUCUCAGGCCGUCCGAGUUGUAGUCUGGAGAAGCGUUUUCCGUGCCGGACCGUGUACAAGUCCCUUGGAACAGGGCGUCGUAGAGGGUGAGAAUCCCGUCUCUGACACGGACCGCCGGUGCUCUGUGAUGCGCUCUCGAAGAGUCGAGUUGUUUGGGAAUGCAGCUCAAAAUGGGUGGUAAAUUCCAUCUAAAGCUAAAUAUUGGCGAAAGACCGAUAGCGAACAAGUACCGUGAGGGAAAGAUGAAAAGCACUUUGGAAAGAGAGUUAAACAGUACGUGAAAUUGUUGAAAGGGAAACGCUUCAAGUCAGUCGCGUCUUCCGAGACUCAGCCGGGUUUUUAACCCGGUGCACUUCUCGGUGUGACGGGCCAGCAUCGAUUUUGACCGUCGGAGAAAGGCUCUGGGAAUGUGGCACCUCCGGGUGUGUUAUAGCCCUCUGUCGUAUGCGACGGUCGGNNUCGAGGACCGCAGCGCGCCCUUCACCGGGCCGGGGUUCGCCCACGUAACGCGC
RNAcentral lists this ribosomal RNA (1218 nucleotides) under Hysterangium cf. separabile src649. Its description in RNAcentral is "eukaryotic LSU rRNA". The stretch from base 580 to 1218 matches the Rfam family "Eukaryotic large subunit ribosomal RNA", at positions 1 to 606 of the family's 3401-position model. Lineage: Eukaryota; Fungi; Basidiomycota; Agaricomycetes; Hysterangiales; Hysterangiaceae. The record is from RNAcentral.